RNAcentral lists this ribosomal RNA (857 nucleotides) under uncultured bacterium. Its description in RNAcentral is "SSU rRNA". It matches the Rfam family "Bacterial small subunit ribosomal RNA", at positions 524 to 1381 of the family's 1533-position model. The record is from RNAcentral.
UACGGGAGUGGCAAGCGUUAUCCGGAAUUAUUGGGCGUAAAGCGUCCGCAGGCGGCCUUUUAAGUCUGAUGUUAAAGCGUGGAGCUUAACUCCAUUUCAGCAAUGGAAACUGGAAGGCUUGAGUGUGGCAGAGGCAGAGGGAAUUCCCGGUGUAGCGGUGAAAUGCGUAGAUAUCGGGAAGAACACCAGUGGCGAAGGCGCUCUGCUGGGACAUAACUGACGCUCAUGGACGAAAGCCAGGGGAGCGAAAGGGAUUAGAUACCCCUGUAGUCCUGGCCGUAAACGAUGAACACUAGGUGUCGGGGGAAUCGACCCCCUCGGUGUCGUAGCCAACGCGUUAAGUGUUCCGCCUGGGGAGUACGCACGCAAGUGUGAAACUCAAAGGAAUUGACGGGGGCCCGCACAAGCGGUGGAGUAUGUGGUUUAAUUCGAUGCAACGCGAAGAACCUUACCAGGGUUUGACAUCCUGCGAAUCUUUUGGAAACAGAAGAGUGCCUUCGGGAACGCAGUGACAGGUGGUGCAUGGCUGUCGUCAGCUCGUGUCGUGAGAUGUUGGGUUAAGUCCCGCAACGAGCGCAACCCACGUCGUUAGUUGCCAGCAUUUAGUUGGGCACUCUAGCGAGACCGCCGGUGAUAAACCGGAGGAAGGUGUGGAUGACGUCAAGUCAUCAUGCCCCUUACAUCCUGGGCUACACACGUACUACAAUGCUACGGACAAAGGGCAGCAAACUCGCGAGAGCUAGCAAAUCCCAUAAACCGUGGCUCAGUUCAGAUCGUAGGCUGCAACUCGCCUACGUGAAGGAGGAAUCGCUAGUAAUCGCAGGUCAGCAUACUGCGGUGAAUACGUUCCCGGGCCU